This 253-nucleotide ribosomal RNA is filed under the name uncultured bacterium. RNAcentral's name for it is "partial 16S ribosomal RNA". It matches the Rfam family "Bacterial small subunit ribosomal RNA", at positions 524 to 776 of the family's 1533-position model. The record is from RNAcentral.
UACGUAGGGGGCAAGCGUUGUCCGGAAUUAUUGGGCGUAAAGAGCGCGUAGGCGGUCCGGUAAGUCGGCUGUGAAAGUCAAGGGCUCAACCCUUGAAAGCCGGCCGAUACUGUCGGACUAGAGUUCGGAAGAGGCGAGUGGAAUUCCCGGUGUAGCGGUGAAAUGCGCAGAUAUCGGGAGGAACACCUAUGGCGAAGGCAGCUCGCUGGGACGUUACUGACGCUGAGACGCGAAAGCGUGGGGAGCAAACAGG